RNAcentral lists this long non-coding RNA (2952 nucleotides) under Linum usitatissimum (flax). Its description in RNAcentral is "long non-coding RNA (LUSI_LNC002976)". The record is from RNAcentral. Lineage: Eukaryota; Viridiplantae; Streptophyta; Magnoliopsida; Malpighiales; Linaceae.
CAGCUACUGAAUAAUGGGAUGAUUUUGAUAUAACAAAUGAGAAGAGAGAACACAAUCACACAACAUGAGAAUUACAUGGUUUCCCAUCAGUGUAUUGAGUAUAUCCAUAGAUGAAUACCACAACAAUCUUAGUCGCCACAAACUUGGUCAGUAAACCCACCACAAUGAGAAAUCAUCAGGUAAAGAUUUCCAGAAGGUAUGAUUUCUGUUGUUGUAUUUCAAGGUAAGCAGCUAGGGAUUAUACACAGGCACUGCACUCAUUAAGGAGCAGAUUAGGCACUACAAGUCAGGGACCACCUCACCACUCAACUACUAUAAUUGGACCUAUACUACUUAAACUAAGGCUAGAUACACUUGAGUAAUCAGGACAGCUAACAAAUUCUAAGCACAUAUGAUAAUUCUACAUUAGGCAUUCAUGAAAUCAGCAGGGAGAACUUGAAAGCAAUUCGUUGGUAGUUUUAUCCAUGAUUUAAAUGCAAACCACAUUGUCUGGACUUGAGUUCCUAAGCAAACCCUUAAAUCAAACCCUAGGGAAUCCGAGCUUAUCGCUUCUGCUUCCUACAAUACAUCACCAAUAAAGGUAGUUAGUCAUGUAGUCGACAAAUUUACAAAGAAGGGACCAUGUGACGACCUCGUAUAAAGGACUGAUUUAUGCAACACCUAGAGACUUUGGCCUACAGAAAUUCCAGAUUCUAUGGUUAACACCCUCUAAUCUAUUCACCAUAAAAAAUUUAGCUAAGACAAAUAACUGUCAGAAGUCUCGUCCUGUUUUAACAGAAAAUUAGGCAAGGGGCAAGGUUAUCCAACCUUAAAGAUAUCUGUUUAUAUACAUGGACAAAAUGCAUACAUACAACCUUGAAUCUUGGUUCUUAGAGCUUAAUGACCUUGCUUCCUUACAAUUGACAGAUGGCAGUCCCUAUUAUCAAUAUGUUCAAUCAGCUAGCCAAAUGCAACACAAUUUAUUUAACCAAAACAUAAUCUAUUCAGUAGUCACCACCCCGGUAGCUACCACCAUCUCUGCCACUAAGGAUCCCGAGUCAAUCAGACUGAACUUUGAGAAAUGGAUUGGAAUUUUGGAAAUAAAGAGGAAAACUGAACAAGCGGGUACCUAGAAAAGCAACGUAGCCAUUCAAAGCAGGUGGCGAACAUUGAAUCAUUGUUGCAAAACAUAUUCCUAUUUGAGAAUUGUUGGCACCAAGAUAACGCAACUCAAACCUUGCUGCUCUCUUCCAUGAUUUGAGACUUCCAGCUUGGUUGCUGUCCAAGUAGAAACGCCCACAUCCUGUGAAUUUACUGCAAGUCCAUCUGAAAAUCAUACGUAUUAAGAGCAAAAACAACCAUUAAUGAUGCUUCCAGCCAUAUAAAUGGAAGGAAAUAGAUUAAUGUAUCAAGCGGGUGAAGAAAUAGUAAAACAUUCACCAUUAAAACAAAAACCUAAAACACAUCAACAAUUUUGUCAGCAACACUUCAACAAGAAUCCACACCCAAAUUCAGAGUAAAAUUAGCUUCCUGAAAGGUGAUCCUUUUAAUCCCAUCCCAAACAAGUGUUCCAUAACACCGUUAUGGAUGCGAGCAGCUGAACUACUCCAAACUGUUUUCCUUCUCCACUACCAUUUGAUAUAAUUAUCCAGACUACUUUCAUUAUCGUAUAAAUAUAUACAUCUUCUUCCUAUGAGUUUCGUCCCUAAACUAGCAAUUUGUAUCUCGUGCAUAAGACUCGAGGGAAAAUGAUGUUUAGAACGUACCCCUUGUCGAGCUAACUGAUACAAAAACUUCUUCUACGAAGAGCAUGUCGUGCCCCUUGUUCUCCACGAAUCUUUCUGUUGGACUGGAAGUUGUCCCAGGGGCUGGAAAGCUGAUUUCUUUCAAUUCAUCAAUGUUCCAGCGAUUGAAAUAAUUAUGCAGGGAAAUAAUCAAACAAUAAAGGUGUCCCUAAACCCGCCCAUUGUCAAGACUAGUUAUGUCAGAUUUUUCACCAAUAAAGCAUUGAACUUAGACCUAAAUAACUAUUAGCUUCAAUAACGUUCACAAACCAACAGCAUCACAUACAGACGGACCAUAAAAGUUCUCCACAUAGUUGAAAGAUUAUAGGGUACCUUUAUGCUGGCAAUGAAUUUGCUAUGGGGACUGACACUAUUGAAUUUGCUAUGCGGCUGAUCACCAUACAACGAAUAGAAGGAUUAGCUGACGAUUUACUUUGACUAUAGCACCGGCCAGCACUUGCUGAUUCACUGUUGCAGUAUUAGCUUCAAUGUUCACAAAUUGCCAAUGAAUUUGGGUCCGUAAUUCUAUGGAAACUAAUGCCAUGUACAAAAAGAUAAUCAUACCUCACGAUUUCAUAACUAAAUCUCCUCUAGUGAAGAUUUCGAGAUCAUUGUUGUUUGUCUAGCAGGAUCCGGUCGCUGUGUUGGCGGCUGACAAGAUUCCCGAGUUUCUCACCCAAACUAGAGCGGAAAGCUACGGGUGCCGAUUUUCUUUUUCCCGUUAUUUUCUAAUAUAAAAAUAAAAUAAAAAUACGGUCAAAAUAUCACAGAAAAGUCAAUAUGUCGGGUAAUUAUCGCGAAAUAUCAUCGCACGAGACAUAUCGUCAAAUUCUCUUUCUCGGCAAUUUCUCGCGUUUCGAUUUUGGUUUGAAAAACCGAAACUUUUCGCGUUUCAACAUGCGUUUCGGCGUGUAUUUUGGUUUCCGAGGAUUUUCAGAUUAACCGAGUCGUCUGCGGCGGCGUUUCGAUUUCGUUUCCGAGAACCUGAAACGUUUCGGCGCAUAUCAGGGAGUUUCGGCUAUUAUAUCCAUUUUCCCCUUUUCUUGAUAUUUGUUUCCCCGAUUUCCAACUUCUUGUGGCUGCGCUGCUCCCAUGACUCUCCCAAUUUCGUAAGUUCCUCCACUUUUACUGUUGGCUUUUUGUUAUCUUUGUGAAUUGAUUUGUUCUCCUGUGUAUCUAUCAGUUUGGG